GUCCAGACUCCUACGGGAGGCAGCAGUGGGGAAUAUUGCACAAUGGGGGGAACCCUGAUGCAGCGACGCCGCGUGGGUGAAGGAGUAUUUCGGUAUGUAAAGCCCUAUCAGCAGGGAAGAACAAUGACGGUACCUGACUAAGAAGCCCCGGCUAACUACGUGCCAGCAGCCGCGGUAAUACGUAGGGGGCAAGCGUUAUCCGGAUUUACUGGGUGUAAAGGGAGCGUAGACGGCGGUGCAAGCCAGAUGUGAAAGCCCGGGGCUCAACCCCGGGACUGCAUUUGGAACUGUGCUGCUAGAGUGUCGGAGAGGCAGGCGGAAUUCCUAGUGUAGCGGUGAAAUGCGUAGAUAUUAGGAGGAACACCAGUGGCGAAGGCGGCCUGCUGGACGAUGACUGACGUUGAGGCUCGAAAGCGUGGGGAGCAAACAGGAUUAGAUACCCUAGUAC
Molecule: ribosomal RNA, 448 nt
Filed under: uncultured bacterium
Lineage: Bacteria
Description: bacterial SSU rRNA
Rfam family: Bacterial small subunit ribosomal RNA
Source: RNAcentral